RNAcentral lists this ribosomal RNA (253 nucleotides) under uncultured bacterium. RNAcentral's name for it is "partial 16S ribosomal RNA". It matches the Rfam family "Bacterial small subunit ribosomal RNA", at positions 524 to 776 of the family's 1533-position model. The record is from RNAcentral.
UACGUAGGGUGCAAGCGUUAAUCGGAAUUACUGGGCGUAAAGCGUGCGCAGGCGGCUAUGCAAGACAGAUGUGAAAUCCCCGGGCUCAACCUGGGAACUGCAUUUGUGACUGCAUGGCUAGAGUGUGUCAGAGGGGGGUAGAAUUCCACGUGUAGCAGUGAAAUGCGUAGAGAUGUGGAGGAAUACCGAUGGCGAAGGCAGCCCCCUGGGAUAACACUGACGCUCAUGCACGAAAGCGUGGGGAGCAAACAGG